RNAcentral lists this ribosomal RNA (445 nucleotides) under uncultured bacterium. Its description in RNAcentral is "partial 16S ribosomal RNA". It matches the Rfam family "Bacterial small subunit ribosomal RNA", at positions 355 to 793 of the family's 1533-position model. The record is from RNAcentral.
UAGGGAAUCUUCCACAAUGGACGCAAGUCUGAUGGAGCAACGCCGCGUGAGUGAAGAAGGUUUUCGGACCGUAAAGCUCUGUUGUUGGUGAAGAAGGAUAGAGGUAGUAACUGGCCUUUAUUUGACGGUAAUCAACCAGAAAGUCACGGCUAACUACGUGCCAGCAGCCGCGGUAAUCGUAGGUGGCAAGCGUUGUCCGGAUUUAUUGGGCGUAAAGCGAGCGCAGGCGGAAGAAUAAGUCUGAUGUGAAAGCCCUCGGCUUAACCGAGGAAUUGCAUCGGAAACUGUUUUCUUGAGUGCAGAAGAGGAGAGUAGAACUCCAUGUGUAGCGGUGGAAUGCGUAGAUAUAUGGAAGAAUACCAGUGGCGAAGGCGGCUCUCUGGUCUGCAAACUGACGCUGAGGCUCGAAAGCAUGGGUAGCGAACAGGAUUAGAUACCCUGGUAG